CGAGAGAAAGAUCCUGGGCAUGAUCCAACGGCUGAGAUUCAAUCCGACCUAGAUCCGACAGUUCAGACUCGUUGCCGAUUUUGAAUAGGAUUCUUUUGCACGAUCCAAUAGUCUAGAAGCAAUCCAUCACAUGAUCCAACGGCUGUUAUCGCUCCCGACUUUGAAUAGGAUUCUUUUGCACGAUCCGACGGUCAGAACUUCAUCAAAACCC
RNAcentral lists this long non-coding RNA (211 nucleotides) under Elaeis guineensis (African oil palm). Its description in RNAcentral is "long non-coding RNA (EGUI_LNC081008)". Lineage: Eukaryota; Viridiplantae; Streptophyta; Magnoliopsida; Arecales; Arecaceae. The record is from RNAcentral.